AUUGAACGCUGGCGGCAGGCUUAACACAUGCAAGUCGAGCGAGCGGCGGACGGGUGAGUAAUGUCUGGGAAACUGCCUGAUGGAGGGGGAUAACUACUGGAAACGGUAGCUAAUACCGCAUACCAUCAGAUGUGCCCAGAUGGGAUUAGCUAGUAGGUGGGGUAAUGGCUCACCUAGGCGACGAUCCCUAGCUGGUCUGAGAGGAUGACCCGCCCCACGGUGACUGAGACACGGUCCCGACUCCUACGGGAGGCAGGAGUGGGGAAUAUUGCACAAAGGGCGCAAGCCGGAUGCAGCCAGGCCGCGUGUGUGAAGAAGGCCUUCGGGUUUGAAAACACUUUCAGCGAGGAGGCGUUACUCGCAGGAGAAGCACCGGCUAACUCCGUGCCAGCAGCCGCGGGAAUAC
This 406-nucleotide ribosomal RNA is filed under the name uncultured bacterium. Its description in RNAcentral is "partial 16S ribosomal RNA". It matches the Rfam family "Bacterial small subunit ribosomal RNA", at positions 29 to 526 of the family's 1533-position model. The record is from RNAcentral.